Molecule: non-coding RNA, 20 nt
Filed under: Arabidopsis thaliana (thale cress)
Lineage: Eukaryota; Viridiplantae; Streptophyta; Magnoliopsida; Brassicales; Brassicaceae
Source: RNAcentral
CAAGCAGAAAGUUGGUUGGU